Molecule: ribosomal RNA, 493 nt
Filed under: uncultured bacterium
Lineage: Bacteria
Description: partial 16S ribosomal RNA
Rfam family: Bacterial small subunit ribosomal RNA
Source: RNAcentral
GACGAACGCUGGCGGCGUGCUUAACACAUGCAAGUCGAACGGAAAGGCCUGCUUUCCCUUGUGGAUUGCGGGUACUCGAGUGGCGAACGGGUGAGUAACACGUGAGUGAUCUGCCCCCAACUUGGGUAUAAGCCUGGGAAACUGGGUCUAAUUCCCGAUAGGACUGCAGGGUGGUGCCUGUGGUGGAAACGGUUUUCUUGUUGUCGGGGAUGAGCUUGCGGCCUAUCAGCUUGUUGGUGGGGUAAUGGCCUUCCAAGGCGGCGACGGGUAGCCGGCCUGAGAGGGUGGACGGCCACAUUGGGACUGAGAUACGGCCCAGACUCCUACGGGAGGCAGCAGUGGGGAAUAUUGCACAAUGGGCGGAAGCCUGAUGCAGCGACGCCGCGUGGGGGAUGACGGCCUUCGGGUUGUAAACUCCUUUCGACCGCGAGGAAGCCACCUGGUUGGAAGGGUGGUGACGGUAGUGGUAGAAGAAGCACCGGCUAACUACGUG